This is a long non-coding RNA of Apis laboriosa (Himalayan honeybee), 1689 nucleotides long. RefSeq lists it as uncharacterized. Lineage: Eukaryota; Metazoa; Arthropoda; Insecta; Hymenoptera; Apidae. The record is from RefSeq and is a predicted model, not a curated record. The transcript has 4 exons.
ACUACAUCGGUUAUGAUCUAUAUUUUUUGAAAUUACUCGUUAUUUUGAAUGGAUACUCGAUGAAUGGGUAUUCCGGAAUAGUUCAAACGUUUCUGGAAGUAAUUUUAAAAGAACCAAUAUUUUUUGAGGUGUUGCUACGUUAUUACAAGAUUUUAAGGUUAAGAAAUAGGUUAUAGGAGUAAUUGAAUAUUCUAACCUAAUCACUGAAAUAAUAUUGCAUCGAAGUUUCUGUAAGGAUCAAUUAAAUUUGAAUAAACUGGACGAUUAUGCGAACACUUCCGUGUUCUGUGCCCGAAGAAAAUGAUUCUGAGUGCGGACGAUAAAGAUAUGCUUGGCGAAUUAUCGGAAAUACGAUGUUGUCGUCGCAUGUAACUGCGUGUAAACGUGUGCAUGAUCAUAAAUCACAAGCAGUGUAACUAUGCAUUUUACUUGCAACGAUGGGGAUGUCAGCAAUACUUGAAGAUUUACACGGAACAUUUUCGUACUACGCUAUAUUUUCAUUUCACAGAAAAUCAUAGAGAGACAGUUAAGAUGAUAGAAAUAAAGAUAAAAUUAGUAAAAUAAAGUAAAAUAAGAAAUUUAGUAAAAUAAACAAGGAAGAAACUAAAAAAAUAAGUAAAAAAAGGAAGAAAGAAAAAAAUGAGUGAAAAAAAAUCAAAGGAAAAGACAAAAAUAAAGACAAGGUGAAAGGAAAAUAAUAAAAAAAUGAAAGGAAUGAUAGUAAUAAAGAUGAAAAAGGAGAGAAAGUACCUUAGGCGCCGGAUUCUCAAUUUUGUCCACAUAGAUGUAUGACGAAGGUACAGACUGAGAGAAAACGAUGAAAAAUCGGUAGAUGGCAAAGCCCCGUAACAAACACGCGAGAGAAAAUUGUAGCAUUUGCAGCACGUGAGAGGAUUGCAUGCAGUUCGCGUAAAAGGUCUAAGAAUCUAUGUGUAAAUAUAGUACAAAGAAACGGUCAGGUAAUUCAAAUGGAACUAUAUGAUAAUUAUGAUAUAUAUAUGUACAGAAUGAUGCAUGCAAGUUGAAACGGACUAUUUUCUGAUUCUAAUUGAACGAAAAUGUUAGUGGAGAAAGGUAAUCAGAAUUCUCUAGGACAAUAAUAAAUGUGCGACAAUAAAUUUAUCAAUAAUACUAAUAAUUUACAACUUAUAAAUUAGAGAUUAUGGAAUUUCACAUUUCUUAAAAUUCACCCUGUAUACAUUAAAGCAAAGAGAUACUUCACCUUCAAACAUGGCUGACAUAUCAUAAGAGAUAUUAAGCUCGCGUAACGAAGAUUGCAGCACGAAAGUUAGUAAUGCUUUCUGAAACCCAGUUGAAAGAUAUUCAAACUGGUUCACGAGCUUUCUGCGUUAUAUUCAUUUCCAUCUUUUGCCACAUGGUAAAAAGAAGAAAAAAAGAAUGAGAAGAAAAAAAGAAUUUGGCUCAUUAGAACUUAAAAUAACAGAAAUGAGAAAAAUUUGGAAAAAAAUGAUAGUAAAGAGGCUUGGAUCAUUGAUCGAAGAAUUUUCUUUUAAAAAUUAAUCUUCCAAGAAGAAUUAAUUUAUUCUUAAUUCGAAAAAAUAUUGACUUUCAUCGACUUCGAAUAAAAAUAUUUGUUUAUAUUUAUGUUUUAUAACUUUCAAUAGAUUAAUAUUCACGGAUAAUCGUAUCAAACAAAAUUGCCUAUAAUUUAAUAAAUAAGCCUCAAUC